ACACAUUCCCUAGUUUUUCUUUUUCUUGAAUGCAUUGAAGAACAUUCUCUUUGUUUAAAUCCUCUUCAACUUGUUCCGCAGCGCAACCCUAAGCAUUGGGAUUAGGGAUUUUAACUAGUAAUUAUUGCAGAAUUAAGGAGCUACGUCAAUCCUAAUGUGUCUGCAAUCUGCUACACCUCAUUUUGAUUGAUUCAUCAUCAACUUAAUCUUUGAAUUCGAUCACAGAUUAAGUUUCGUUUCUUCGAGUUGGAGGAAUCUGCAAUCUGUUUUCCCUCGCUCUCCUCCCAUCCAUUCAAUUAGAGAUCUAAAUUUCGUCACUGCGGCAUCAUUCCCUCCGUAAGAAAACUCGCAAUUCUUGACUGCUAGAGAGAAGCUGUUGAAGUUCGUAGAGAAAGCUAUCAAAUCCAAGUGAUAAAUUGCGCCAUCAAAUAAAAAUCUUGUCAUCUUAUAUACAACUCAAGCCUAAAGCUCUCAAAAAACAGAGGCUUCAAAACAUUCAACUGGCCCCAUUCACAAAAUCCUAGCUGAAGACGACUAAUAACUAUACAGAUACAUAUACAAAAAGCUAUACACUCAACGUACACCAAAAUUCACAGUUAUGUUACAUGAAACUGUUGGAGCUGCUGCCUCAUCUCUGCAAGAUGAGUUGAAUAUACAGGUUCCGUUCGGUUCUUCAACAGAUGAUGGUGAUUUUUUUGUUUCCUCACGGUACACGUUGACACACCUCAUGCAAACAAACUUAGAAGGCAUGCCAUCAGAAUUAUCAAUUCCAGCGCAUCUGGUAUGCUGCCAAACGCCACAGGUAUCACAUGCUAACAUUUUCUCUCCGUCAUCAUCCUUGGCCCCACAAGUGCAAUCAACCUUCCACACCUCAGUUCCUCGUUCCAUUCGGAAUCUGCUUAGCCCAUGUUUUGCUGGGCAUUUACCUUGAAUGCGGACUGAUCCACUUGUUCCAAGCAAGAACUUCACGGUGAGGGAGUCACUGAUUGACCCAUAUCCUAGGAGUUCUUCAGCUUGAAACCUCUUAUACAUUGCAUACACCUCUUGGAAAGCACUAGUGGCUUCGCUCUUGAGCUCAGCAACGGUAGCAUUCAAAGGCAACACUAUAAGCUCUGGCGGUGGGGAUGGAUCGUCCUUAGGCUGAUCAGAAAGUUCGACAUGACACCACAACCUGAUAACAGAAGGCAGUUCGAUGGCCAUUUCAUAUGGCUUGUAAUCUUUCAUAAACUGUUUACAGUCAAGGAGCUUCCUGGCUGAAUCAGCAACCCUUUUCCUCAUAAUCCUAGGUCUGUAUGACAUCAUUUUGUCAGGAUGUAUUAUCGAGUCGAAUAAAAAUGUCAAGUCAGAGAUCAGUUGCCUUUCAGUAGGAUAGCUUGAAUAUGUAUUUAGACCAUUACUCAUCGGCCCCAACCUGUUAUUGAGAAUAUAUUCAACACAUGCUUUAGUUACAUUAAUUAAGAUGUAAUUGACAAAAGCAAUGCCUUCUUCAAUCUCACCUGAACUCGAUUGCACAGGAAACGGGAUUACAUCGUGAACAAACUACCAUCCCAUUGGCUGCUAAUUUCCCAGGGAAGUGCUUAAGACAGUAGUCAAGAAGCUGUGGAGAUGAAACACCCCUGCAUACUGCACCCUUCAGAGCACGACUUGUCACCCAUUUAGACUCGUUACACGCACCUGAUGCAAUCAAUACCUUGACAAGAGCACAUUGCACCUCUUCAACAUCUUUUCCCGUCCACGUACACAACAAAUUACUGGUCUGCUUAAAAGUUUUCAUGGCUAUUGGCUUACGGCAUUCACGAAUCAACAUCAACAAAAAAGAGAAGAGAUCUUGAAUGUUUAGAAGUUCUGUUUCUGCCAAAGACUGGUAAAGAGAAAUAAUACACUCCAGGCGGCUUCGUGGUCCCCGUCCAUGAAAUGAAAAUGAUGACAAGGGCAUACUUGACAGGGUAUUCACUGCGUUUUUGUAGGCAUCUUGGGUGAGAGCAUAGCUGCCUGUUCCAAAUUCAUAAGCCCAAUUACCAUACCAGGAAUGUCCUUUCGUGAUCGCAUGAAGCAAUCGGUAUUCCAGCCCGAAUUUCUUGGACAAGUCCAUCACGCUAACCUUCCUGCUCAAGUAUACAACACAAUUAUCAAAUUUUAAAAAUGGGGUCGUGCCCAUCCUGAAGCCAAAUGUGAGAAAAAAGUUAUUCAAACCUCACAGAAAUUGAAGUACAUAGCCUGUCCCAGAAAUCCAUAAUAUCAGAUCCAGAUAGAAGCUUAGAGCCACCUUCUCUUCCACUUAGAGUAAGCAGGUGACCAUAACCAUUGGAAUGGACCACACCAUGAAGAAGAUGGGUGUUAUCUUCAAUCUGAUUAUACACCCAGUCCUCAAGGUCAUCCACGGUGAUGGCAAAGUUACACGAUUUACAGCUGCAGCCAUGUGGAAGACUAGAUAAUUGGAGAAGGUUUCCACAUCUUGAACAAGGUCUUUGAUACGGUUCGAUUGCAUUACUUGCAGCCCUUAUUAUGAAAUGAUAUCGCUUUCGACAAACCGGAUGCCCACUCCACCCUUUGUUUUUUUCAACAAAAAGUCAGCAUUAGAGCACAACCAUACAUCCUCCAUAGGCCCCAUAUGAAAAUAUAUAUCAAUAAUAUCUGUUUUCCCACUAACAAUAUUGUUAUUAAUUAUUACAUUAUUAAUACUACAUUAUUAUAAAUUAUAAAUAUACAUACAUAAAAAAAAAUUGGCAAAAUAUAUUACUGUAUUCGACAUACAAAGAAACGGGGAAAAAAAUACUGUAAAGUUUAUUGUUUAAUUUUCAGCCAAGUUCUGGGAGGGAAGAAAAAAUCAGGUAGAGUUGGAGACUCUACAUACUAACUUAUGGAACAAGUUGUAAACACAGUUAAAAAAUAGAAUUAAAAUUAACUGCCUGUUUAAUUUGAUUUUAAGCUAAUGAGAAAUGCAUGGGUCUAGAGUCAGUGAGUCACAAACUCGGCGAGUGGGCUCACC
Long non-coding RNA from Vigna angularis (adzuki bean), 2989 nucleotides. RefSeq lists it as uncharacterized. The transcript is spliced from 5 exons. The record is from RefSeq and is a predicted model, not a curated record. Lineage: Eukaryota; Viridiplantae; Streptophyta; Magnoliopsida; Fabales; Fabaceae.